Molecule: long non-coding RNA, 375 nt
Organism: Bos taurus (domestic cattle)
Lineage: Eukaryota; Metazoa; Chordata; Mammalia; Artiodactyla; Bovidae
Source: Ensembl
GAGACAGGGACUCCAUCCCUGGUUUGGGAAGAUCUCCUGGAGGAGAGCAUGGCAACCCAAUUCUCCAGUAUUCUUGCCUGGAGAAUCCCGUGGACAGAGGAGCCUGAUUCUGAGAAUCUGCAUUUUUAACAAGCAUCGCAGCUGAUUCUCAUGUAGCUGGCUGGUAGACCACACCUGGAGAAAUACUGACAGUGGAAGAGAAAGUGGAGGGAGCCUGGCGACCUGGGACUUCCCUGGAUGCAGUGAGCGGCCGCAACCUCCCUGAGGACCCAGCCUUCCUGCUCUCAGUCUCACAGCUCUUUGCUUCUUUCCUUCCACCAGCCUGAGGGGAAAUACUGAUGUACGAUUAUUAAAAUAUUUUUUAAAGACUUAUGA